RNAcentral lists this ribosomal RNA (497 nucleotides) under uncultured bacterium. RNAcentral describes it as "partial 16S ribosomal RNA". It matches the Rfam family "Bacterial small subunit ribosomal RNA", at positions 28 to 507 of the family's 1533-position model. The record is from RNAcentral.
GAUGAACGCUGGCGGCGUGCCUAAUACAUGCAAGUCGAGCGAACAGAUAAGGAGCUUGCUCCUUUGACGUUAGCGGCGGACGGGUGAGUAACACGUGGGUAACCUAUCUAUAAGACUGGAAUAACUCCGGGAAACCGGGGCUAAUGCCGGAUAACAUGUUGAACCGCAUGGUUCUACAGUGAAAGGCGGCUUUGCUGUCACUUAUAGAUGGACCCGCGCCGUAUUAGCUAGUUGGUGAGGUAACGGCUCACCAAGGCAACGAUACGUAGCCGACCUGAGAGGUUGAUCGGCCACACUGGAACUGAGACACGGUCCAGACUCCUACGGGAGGCAGCAGUAGGGAAUCUUCCGCAAUGGGCGAAAGCCUGACGGAGCAACGCCGCGUGAGUGAUGAAGGUCUUCGGAUCGUAAAACUCUGUUAUUAGGGAAGAACAAAUGCGUAAGUAACUGUGCGCGUCUUGACGGUACCUAAUCAGAAAGCCACGGCUAACUACGUG